GGCAGCACAACGGCUGGAAAAUACAGAAGUUAAUCAAACGCACGGGGGGGCCUGGAAGUGCCAUCAGAAGACGUGUGCCCUCUGCAGUUACUGGGGGACCUGCGAUUCUUGGGAGGAAGCCCCCGACCCUCUGAUAGUGUUCACAGGAUGUGCCUUUACGUGUCCACGUGUGGAGCGGGUGCGGCGAGUGUCCACGGGGGGAGCAGGGAUUGGUGGUCACACCCUUGGAGACGGCAGCAAUUCGGGGGCCUCGCCGAGCACCCCCAGGUGAAAUGUGACCCCACCCAGUGGCCUUUCACGGAAGGGGAUGGUGCCUUCAACAAAUCCGUCUUGCCAUCAAUCACCUUGUUGUCUUGCUCUCUUGUUCUCUGUUUAUGUAAUGUUUUAUGCAAAUGUUUUAUUUGGGAAAAUUUUCCAACUUAACAGAAAAAUGCAAGUGUGAUGUGAUGAACUUUGUAUACCUUUCACCUAGAUUCACACGUGUUGACGUCUUGCAGUAAUUGUUUCAUUUCUCUCUUUCUGCAGAACUUCCCACCACAAUUCUCCAUCUCCCCAUCCCCUCUUUCCCCUCCUCUUCCUUCUUGCUAGAGGACUUGAGAUGCCAUGAUAUUGACCCCUGAAUACUUCUGUGUGUAUCUCUUAAAAACAAGAAUAUUCUUUUACGUAUUCAUCAUAUAAUGAUCCUAAGAUUCAGGAAACUUAACAUUGAUACACUCUCUCCUAAUAUACAGCUCAUAUUUAGAUCUCAUCCCAAUUGCAUCUCUUUUUUUUAAAAAAUUAUUUUAGAGAGAAAGUUCCAGUGGGGGGGAGAGGGAGAGGGAGAGGGAGAGGAAGAGAAUCCUCAAGGAGCCCCCCCCCCCCCCCGAGUGCGGAGCCAUACACGGGGCUUGAUCUCAUGACCAGUGAGAUCACAACCUGAGCCAAAAUCACCAGUUGGAUGUUUAACCCACUGAGCCACCCAGGCGCCCUUCAGUCCCAUCUCUUAUAUCAUGUUUUCUUGAUCCAUGAUCAAAUCUAAGAUCACUCAUUGCACUCAUCGGGCCUUUUUAGUCUGGAAUAGCUCCUCAGACUUUAGUUGUCUCUCAUGGCCUUGACAUUCUGAAAGAGUACCUGGACAUUAUUUUGUAAAACGCCCCGUGAUUUGUUUCCCUGACUUUUUGGCGGGAAUACUACAUAAGUCAUAUUGCAUCCAGCCUAAUGUGUGAUAGCGGGAGGCACCUGAUGCCAGUUUGACUCGUUAUUGGUGAUGUUACUGGGAUUGUGUAGUUGGGGGGCAUCCACUGGAAAGUUGCCACUUUUUUCUUUCUACUGAACAUAAUGAAACUAUAAAUAUACUACUUCCCAUCAAACAUUUACCCAACUGUUUUAUCAUCCUGUGAUAAUUUUUGCCCCAGUCCGUUAUUACUAUUAAAAUUGCCAAAUGCUGUACCUGUUUCUCUACCGUCCCACUUGUAAAUGGAGAGAUGCGAGUACUUGCUAGAAUUUGGAGGUGAGGAUGGGGAAAACCAACAUGCGCUACUUCUUCGUCCCCUAGUUGGCCAACGAAACAAAAAUGUAUUCCUUUAGCUAUUCCCUGUGCCUACAAGUGGCAUUCUAGAUUCUUGGGCAUGUCAUAGCCUUAGAUUUCCUCCCAUCCUUCCUUGAGCAAACCCUACAGUUUGUCAGUGGUUUUAACCCCUUUGUUUAGGUUUUAGGUUUUAAUCCUUUAUGUUUCUGCAUUUCCUCUGUCCAGCCUCGAAACAUGGGAGAUUAGCCACUUUUUGUUCAGUCCAUCCAGUUAUUUGCUUUUUGUUUUAGGGUUGUUUUUUUUUUUUUUUUUUUUAAUGGAGUAGGUGGGAAGGAAAGGGUCCAUCCAGUUAUUUGUUUUUUGUUUUAGUUUUUUGUUUUUUUUUUUUAAUGGUAUAGGUGGGAAGGAAAGGAUACCUAUAAAAAGACCAUAUCCUGAGGAUAAAAGAAGGGAGGGAGGAUGACCCUCAGAUAUCUGUCCUCAGUAGAAUAACUACAAAAACACAAUCAGAUGUCUUGCAUUACAAAGCUGAAUCUCCUCCUUGCAUGGCAUCUCCUUGUAUCACCUUCUAUGCUAAAUGAGUGUCUACUUCCUGGCCUUGACUCACUUCUUUGCUUCAUUUAAUGCCCACCUGCACUUUUACUUGGCUUAUCUCAUUCACAUCCCUCAAUAACCCUGUGUCAUUGUUAUUACUGUCAGAGUCUCCAUUUCACACAGGAGGAAACAGACGUCAAGAGGUUGGCCUAAGAUCACGCAGCCAAUAACUGAGGCUGUCUAUUUCCAGAGGCCGCUCUUUUGGCCGCCGUGUUUCCUGAGAAGUGAGCAAAAGAGGCGGCAUAAAGCUCAUGUAUGUAAGCCUGGAGUUCCCCUCUGGCCUCCAGUAGAGUCCACUGGCUACGUUUCGAGCCACAUUAUGCUUUGCAAUAUAAUCACCUUGGUCAUGUGGCCCCUCCGACGAGGUGGCAACUCGUCUCCAAUCAAGCUGAUUCUCAUGAAAUAACAGUGGCCACACUGACAGAGGGCAGCCGGGCAGCCGGACAGCUGGAAAGGGCCCGGAUGGCCCACCGCCAGGCCAAGGCCGCUGUAGUGGACGUCCUGACACACCCAGCCCUCGGGACAACAGCCCAGAGCUCAGAGACCUAUUCACACACCGAUAAAACUGAAACAAGAAGAGAAGCAUGCCUUGUGUAUUAAUCUCUUUUGACAUUUUUUUUUUCUUUUUUUACUUUUGUGAAUCUGCUCUUGCUCUAUUAAGAAUAGGGUACCGUGGUCCGGGGAGAAUCGCUUCAUUGCGGCUGCAGGAUAAGGAAGCAGGAUUCCCUGGUCUCUAAAAGGUCCCCUCUAGGUUCGUGUAUCUAAGCAUCAGCUGUUAUUUGUAAUCAUCUGUUUCUAGAAUAUCAAUAACUUCUUUAUGUGACACAUAAACAUGGCCCACACCGAAGUUGAUCUACAACUUUGAAGUUCAAACCACAGGAAAAUUCCUAAGACGGUGCUCUCCUAAUUGCUUCCCGGAGCAGGCACUUUUGGCAAAUCGAUUCUCCCAAGACUACGA
This 3059-nucleotide long non-coding RNA is filed under the name Canis lupus familiaris (dog). Its description in RNAcentral is "lncRNA (ENSCAFG00030013009.1)". The record is from RNAcentral. Lineage: Eukaryota; Metazoa; Chordata; Mammalia; Carnivora; Canidae.